UAAAUUGUUUGAUCUAGUCUUAGAACCCACAAGUUACAACUGCUUGGAUAAACCUUUUUUAAUAAAGCUAACCCUAGGCCUUGGGAUGAAAGUAUGGAAAAUAUUUUGGAUUCUGGACAGCUCAGACAAAAUAUUCCAGGAGUCUGUGUGAAGUAGGCCCGGCAACUUAUGAUUCAAAUAACUUUUUGUGCUUUGCAUGAUUUCUGGUGGCCCUCUUGAGUAACUUUUUAUACACCCAGACUGGUGGCCCCUAGCAAUAGCAUAAUAUACAGCAAUCGUAAAAGUUAAUGGAUCACAGGUUAAAU
This 305-nucleotide long non-coding RNA is filed under the name Elaeis guineensis (African oil palm). RNAcentral's name for it is "long non-coding RNA (EGUI_LNC016901)". The record is from RNAcentral. Lineage: Eukaryota; Viridiplantae; Streptophyta; Magnoliopsida; Arecales; Arecaceae.